UGCAUGUAAUUUUCGGUGAGCUGGAACCAAUUACACAAAAACCCAUUGAAACAAUGGUUUCAGAUAACGAGCAACCUUCUGGAAUUCAUUGUGCUCGUUAACCGAGGGACCACUGUACAACAUAUACCUUUACCAAGAGGAUAUUACACCAGCUCUCGUUGGUCAAACCAUAGACCCUAAAACGUUUUGAACGAAUUAUAUGGUACGUGUCAUCGUUGAGGGUCUUAUUCUCCAACCCAAAUCAAUAACGCUCCUAUGAGCGUUAACACAAGGGCAAAAGUACACAUCUCAGAAUUGUCUGAAAGGGAUGGAGAUGGUAUGACUCAGGAAGAAAUUAAGUGUGUUGCUACAGUUGAACAGAAAAAUGCACUCUCAAGCAAGUUAUAUUAUGUGUAGUAAAUCAAAUGGUGUGUACUAGAAUUUAUUUUCCAUGUAGACUGGCAUAUAAGAGGUUUCUGAAUUGUUGGGAGGAUUUAUUUUUAGGUGACUGUUCCUAUAAUUAAUCUUUCAUGUGGUGCAUCUAUGCAUAUACAAGAUAGGAAUUAUAUCUUGCUGUCUUUAGGAAGAUAAAUGUUGUACUCGGUGAAAAGGUGUACCUGUAGUAUAAGGUACAAAAUGCAUCUGAGGAUACAGGUUCUUUUGUGCAGUAAUCACAAAAAUAGUUGUCUGUAUUAAAUCUUAGAAUUGUGUAAUUGCAGUUGAAAGGGUUUCAUUUUUUUUAUACCAUGCCAAGAGGAUAGUUGUCUUAGGAAUACUGUACUGCAUAGUAUAUUUCUUAUUUGGAGUUAAGCUUGCUGUAGAUUUAGAGGAAAAUGUAUUGGUUCUUUUGCAUGUUGACAAUUUAAGUUUCAUGUUAUAUUUAGUGAGUGGACAAAGCUUUAUGUAACUAUGCUGAUGUUCAUAAUAUUUCAGAAGAUUUAAGAGAAAUUUAAAAAAAUGCACUGGAGACCAUUUUUGUGUCAGUUUAUAGCAGGAUUGCAUUUAAAUGCCAGUUUACUAUGGUUUUUCUUUUAAUAUUUAUUGGGAAGAUAUGGAAAUAUGAUAAAUAACAAUGUUUCUAAAAAU
Long non-coding RNA from Homarus americanus (American lobster), 1065 nucleotides. RefSeq lists it as uncharacterized. NCBI's taxonomy places the organism in Eukaryota, Metazoa, Arthropoda, Malacostraca, Decapoda, Nephropidae. The record is from RefSeq and is a predicted model, not a curated record. The transcript has 3 exons.